Molecule: small nuclear RNA, 105 nt
Organism: Ochotona curzoniae (black-lipped pika)
Lineage: Eukaryota; Metazoa; Chordata; Mammalia; Lagomorpha; Ochotonidae
Source: RefSeq, a predicted model, not a curated record
GUGCUCGCUUCGGCAGCAAAUAUACUAAAAUUGGAAUGAUACAGAGAAGAUUAGCAUGACCCCUGUGCAAGGAUGACAUGCAUUUGUGAAGUGAUCCAUAUUUAA